UCUUGAGUUUUGGUGUUUUUCUGAACCACCAAAAUCAUAAAAAUGGUCAAGAAGUAAGACAUAGGUGCAGGGCUCAGGAGCUGUUGGCCAAGGCAUACAGACAAGACCAAGACAUAGUCUUGAGCCACCAACUGUCCACAUACAGGGUGAUAGAUCACUUUGCACUGUCUGUACUGGGCAUUUGAACUAUGUCCCAGACAAAGCCAUAAGCAUCUUGUUCUCUCUUGCUUCUGUCUUCUGGGCUUGCAGCUGUGUUGUACACAGUGUGGUUGAUGCUGUGAGAAGCCUGAUGCACUCUGCAUCUUUAUUACCCCAGUAGGUUGCCUUGGAGCACAGCCUGCCUGCAAAUCCCAUUGCCAUCAUGCUAGAUAAUACAGGGACCCUCCAGAAAUAAUCCUUUGCCACUCUGUCUCAUGGGUGAGACAGAGGCAGAGCUCACUUCAGGGAGCAGUGAAACCUACCAGUGUGACACACAGCAUCAGCUGAUGCCCACAGCAGGGAAGGAAAGCCUAAAGCCUUGAACAGCUGCAAGAUGUUCCCCUUUGGGGUUGUAGCAAUCCUAACCAGAAGACUAUUGUGCAUCACAGAGUUAGCGAUCCAUGACAAAUGUCAACCCGAGCAGGCUGUGCUGCCCUGUGCUGUGUGUAUGUCUUGUCCUUCAGGAUAAACUCAGCAGGGUGAUGGUAACAGAGGAGCCCACAGGCAGCUCCCACUCUGUGUUUCUAAUUACACCACCUCUGUGGCCUUGGCAUUAUCUUAAGGAAGAGCAGCAAGUUCUCAUGUGAACAUACAGUCGUUUGACAACAGUUAUGAUGAAUACAUUAUUUUUUGUCUAAGAAAAUUCUGUAAGAGGUCUCAAAACCAAAAUGUUAGGGAACCUUUCCACAGGAUGGGACCUGAACUAUAUGCCCUGAGUGAGAUGCUGCAUGGCUUCAGCAUCUGAAGGGAUGUAAAAUGACAUAUAUUCUUUCUGUUGCUCAUGUUAGCUCCAGAAGAUGGUGUUUUUAGCAAUAGCUUAUGUUUUUAGCAAUAGCUUAAGGCACACUUAGCCUGAGUGCCUUUCUUACUUGAUCAUAAGGUACCCUGAGGUAGUCUCGGUGCUUUGCACUAUAUGUUAGCAGCAGAAUAGUCUAAAGUUGGCCCCAAAGAUGUUUCUGUAUCAAGUGGUGUAAAAGGUGGCAAAUAAAGCUCCAAAGAGUUCCGGCUUUGGGGUUGCUUCUCCACAGCAGUCUGGUCCUGCUAGCUUUGUGACUAUGUAGAAUGCCCAGUACCACUGCAGUUACUCCCUUUUCAUCCAGAAGUACAAGAAAAUAAGCUUUUUCAGUAUCAAAACAAUAACAGAACAUAAACUAUACCCUUUUGUGUUUCAUGUGAAGAGAAAACAUCAAACUUAAAAUGAAACAUUUCUGCUAACCAUAUUUUAUUCCCUUACAAGCUUCUCUGUAUUAUAAAGCAGCUGAUAGCAAGCUUUAGCACUGUGCAUGUUUUAAAUUAAAUGUCCUGCAUAGAACAUUAAUAUCUCAACUCUGUUUUUCAUUUCAGAGCUACACAGGAAAACACCCGUAACUUUGACAGAACCUUGAAAUGGUACUGCAUAAUUCAGAAACAGCUAUUUCUGAAUUCUUCAAAUCACUCUCUUUAAUAACCAUCUAGUGCCAUUGCCAGGUUCUUCUGCCAGGGUUUCAGAUCUUAUUUUCUGACAGCAGUGCAUGGUGGCCCUCUUCCAGCAUGUAUUUGGUGCACUGCAGAGGCCUUUAUACCUGAUUCUUGCAAUUCAGCACCAGGGUGAAGGAGACACAGAAUCCCACUGUUUUAGGGUGUAGCAACUACCUGGUUACACCAAUGCAAAUGAGUAGAGGAUGACACCCAGCAGAUGUGACUGACCUAAUUUUCUCAUCCACGCAAAUGGAAAGUAAUCAGUUGAAACAACUAGAUUUAUAGUUGUGAAAAAAAGCAUUGAAGGCAAAUGAAAGAUCUGACCUAGCUGGAAAAUCUGCCUGUAAAUCCAUCAGUAAACUCCUUGGUUUUUUCUCUUCCCUAGAAAGUAACUAGAAGCAAGUUUCUUAGGUAUCAGGGGCAAUGACAGAGCAAUUAAAAUGCCAGAAAUUUUAACACUGUAUAGUGCUUGCCAUAAACGCUGUCCCAUGAGACCCAGCUGCUAAUGGGUAUUUGUUCAUAGGGCUGGGGGAUUCACAGUUUCCAGGCAGGGCAGUAGCCUUAUCAUACACCUUUGGCUACUGACUCAUAAUAAUCUUCACCGCCACAUGCCACCGGCAUUGCUGCAGCAUGGAGAAGAUGUCGAGAUCAGAGGGAAAAGCGGCAAACAUCAGAUCAGCAUUAAACCAUAGAAAUGGCUAGUAGCAGACAAUUCCAGCUGAGCUGGGUUUUCAAUUACUGUUAUUUAGGCUUUCUGGGAAGCAAAUACUGGGUAAGAGACAACUUCAACAUCAUAU
Long non-coding RNA from Passer domesticus (house sparrow), 2453 nucleotides. RefSeq lists it as uncharacterized. The transcript has 3 exons. NCBI's taxonomy places the organism in Eukaryota, Metazoa, Chordata, Aves, Passeriformes, Passeridae. The record is from RefSeq and is a predicted model, not a curated record.